GGGGGAAAAAUUAAUUAGAAUAAAUAAUAAUAAAAAAAUUUUUAAAUAAAUUAUUUUAAUGGGGGUUAAAGUAUAUUUAUAAGAAAAAAUUUUAAAAUUUAUAGAUGAAUAGUAUUGUGAAAGAAAUUUGAAAUAUUAUGAAAAUUAAUUUUUUAAAAAGUAAAUUUAAUUUAUUGUAUCUUGGGUAUCAGAGUUUAUUUAAAAAGUUUUUUUAGUUAAAAUUAUCUCGAAUUUAAAAGAAAUAAUUAAUUAUAAAAGUUAUUGUGUCAUAAAUAUUUUAAAUAAUUAAUUAGAAAUGAGAUGUUAAUCGUUUUUAAAUAUAUCUAGUUUUUUUAGAAAUAAAUUUAAUUUAGAAUUUUUUUUUAGUUAAAAAAAAAAUUAUAUUUUUUUAUAGGGAAAAAUUUAAUAUUUUAAGGGAUAAGCUUUAAAUUAAAUUUUUAUAAUAAUUAAAAAAAUUAAUUAAAAUUUUUAAAAUUUAUAUUGUUUAUAAAUUAUAUAUUUUUAUAAAAAAUUUUAUUUUAAAUAAAAUUUUUAAAAAAAAAUUUAAAUUUUUAUAAAAAAAUAAUUUUUAAUAAAUUAAAAAUUAGAUAUAAUGAUGAAAUUAGUAUAACUAAUAAAAAUAUAAGAUUUAUAAGUUUAAAAUUAAUAAAAAGGAAUUCGGCAAAUAUUUAUAUUCACUUGUUUAACAAAAACAUGUCUUUUUGAUAAUAAUUUAAAGUCUAAUCUGCCCACUGAUUUAAUUAUUAAAGGGCUGCAGUAUAUUGACUGUACAAAGGUAGCAUAAUCAUUAGUCUUUUAAUUGAAGACUUGUAUGAAAAGGAUUUGAUGAAAUAUAGACUGUCUUUUUUUUAUAAUUAGAAUUUAAUUUUUUAGUAAAAAAGCUAAAAUAUGUUUAAAAGACGAGAAGACCCUAUAGAGUUUUAUUAAUAAAUUAAAUUAAAUUUUAUAUUAAAAUUAAAAUAAAAUUUAAUUUUUUAAUUUUGUUGGGGUGAUAAAAAAAUUAAAAAAACUUUUUUUUUUAGUUAAACCAUUAAUAUAUGAGUUUUUGAUCCAUAAUUUAUGAUUAUAAGAAAAAAUUACCUUAGGGAUAACAGCGUAAUUUUUUUUUUUAGUUCAAAUAAAAAAAAAAGUUUGCGACCUCGAUGUUGGAUUAAGAUAAAAUUUAAAUGCAGAAGUUUAAAAUUUUUGAUCUGUUCGAUCAUUAAAAUCUUACAUGAUCUGAGUUCAAACCGGUGUAAGCCAGGUUGGUUUCUAUCUUUAGAUACUUAUAAUAUUUUAGUACGAAAGGAUUAAAUAUUAAAAAUAUUUUUAAAUAAAAGAAUUUUAAUAAGAUUUAUUUUAAAUUAGUUAAUUUAAUUAA
This 1360-nucleotide ribosomal RNA is filed under the name Tagiades japetus. RNAcentral describes it as "16S ribosomal RNA". Lineage: Eukaryota; Metazoa; Arthropoda; Insecta; Lepidoptera; Hesperiidae. The record is from RNAcentral.